This 873-nucleotide ribosomal RNA is filed under the name uncultured bacterium. RNAcentral describes it as "bacterial SSU rRNA". It matches the Rfam family "Bacterial small subunit ribosomal RNA", at positions 8 to 916 of the family's 1533-position model. The record is from RNAcentral.
AGGGUUCGAUCAUGGCUCAGAUUGAACGCUGGCGGUAUGGCUAAAACAUGCAAGUCGAGCGCGAACGUCCUUCGGGACUAUUAGAGCGGCGCAAGGGCGAGGAAUCCAUUCCUACGUACCCCAAGGUCGAGGAUAGCUCAGGGAAACUUGAGGUAAUACUCGAUGUGGUGCUUCGGCAUCAAAGGCUUGCUGCCUUGGGAGCGGGGAAUGACCUAUCAGGUUGUUGGUGAGGUAACGGCUCACCAAGCCUUAGACGGGUAGCGGGUGUGAGAGCACGACCCGCCGCAUCGGGACUGAGACACUGCCCGGACUCCUACGGGAGGCUGCAGUAACGAAUCUUCCGCAAUGCACGAAAGUGUGACGGGGCAAUACCGCGUGUGGGAUGAAGCCCUUCGGGGUGUAAACCACUGUCAGGGUUCAGGAAAAAAAUGACCAGACCCAAAGGAAGGGCCGGCUAACUCUGUGCCAGCAGCCGCGGUAAUACAGAGGGCCCGAGCGUUAAUCGGAAUCACUGGGCUUAAAGCGUACGUAGGCGGACAUGUAGGCAUUUUGUGGAAUCCCUCGGCUCAACCGGGGAAUUGCAGAGUGAACCACAUGUCUUGAGGCGAGUAGAGGCGGUCGGAACGAUAGGUGGAGCGGUGAAAUGCGUAGAUAUCUAUCGGAACGCCAAAGGUGAAGACAGGCCGCUGGGCUCGUCCUGACGCUGAGGUACGAAAGCGUGGGUAGCGAACGGGAUUAGAUACCCCGGUAGUCCACGCCGUAAACGAUGCACACUAGGUCGGGGAGGUUUGACGCCCUCCUGGCCGAAGCAAAAGUGUUUAGUGUGCCGCCUGGGGAGUACGGUCGCAAGGCUAAACUCAAAUGAAUUGACGG